RNAcentral lists this long non-coding RNA (244 nucleotides) under Dermacentor andersoni. RNAcentral's name for it is "uncharacterized LOC126526626". Lineage: Eukaryota; Metazoa; Arthropoda; Arachnida; Ixodida; Ixodidae. The record is from RNAcentral.
GUGAGCUGUGGAGUUGUGCCAUGCUAUGUGUACGUUGUGAGCGAGUAGGUAAACAACACCACGGGACUUCUGCUGUCACUUACGGGCACUUCCAAAGCUUCUGCUGAUUUCUUCGGCCUGCACCUUAAAUUUGUUGUGCACACCAGGAUCUAGCCUGUCUCUGCCUUGUUGACAACAGCCCCAAGUACUGAUUGCUGCUCAUUUGCUAUGUCCAGAAUCUGGCCUCACAAAUGCAAUGAGCCUU